GAUGAAGAACGUAGGCGAAAUGCGAUACUUGGUGUGAAUUGCAGAAUCCCGUGAACCAUCGAGUCUUUGAACGCAAGUUGCGCCUCAAGCCAUUAGGUUGAGGGCACGUCUGCCUGGGCGUCACAUAUCGUUGCCUGAUGCCAGUUUCCUCGUGAUGGGUGACUGUGCAGGGCGAAUGAUGGCUUCCCGUGAGCAUUGUUGCCUCAUGGUUGGUUGAAAAUUGAGUCCUUGGUAGGGAGCGCCGUGAUAGAUGGUGGUUGAGUGACGAACGAGACCCAAUCAUGUGAGACCCCUACCGAAUUUGGCCUUCAUGACCCACAUGCGUCUUUGGAACGCUCAUGACGAGACCUCAGGUCAGGCGGGGCUACCCGCUGAGUUUAAGCAUAUCAAUAAGCGGAGGA
This 401-nucleotide unclassified non-coding RNA is filed under the name soil metagenome. RNAcentral describes it as "partial contains 5.8S ribosomal RNA, internal transcribed spacer 2, and large subunit ribosomal RNA". The stretch from base 1 to 123 matches the Rfam family "5.8S ribosomal RNA", at positions 35 to 154 of the family's 154-position model. The record is from RNAcentral.